GGCCGGCUAGCUCAGUGGGUUAGAGAGUGGUGCUGAAAACACCAAGGUCGUGGGUUCGAUCCCCAUUCGGUCC
RNAcentral lists this transfer RNA (73 nucleotides) under Apaloderma vittatum (bar-tailed trogon). It matches the Rfam family "tRNA". Rfam says of the family: Transfer RNA (tRNA) molecules are approximately 80 nucleotides in length. Their secondary structure includes four short double-helical elements and three loops (D, anti-codon, and T loops). Lineage: Eukaryota; Metazoa; Chordata; Aves; Trogoniformes; Trogonidae. The record is from Rfam by way of RNAcentral.